Molecule: long non-coding RNA, 261 nt
Organism: Telopea speciosissima
Lineage: Eukaryota; Viridiplantae; Streptophyta; Magnoliopsida; Proteales; Proteaceae
Exons: 2
Source: RefSeq, a predicted model, not a curated record
AACAAGUGAAACAGCAGAGCAAGGAGGAUAUCUCAAGGGACCGGUGAUGUUCAGGAUAACAGACAAUUUGGUUUUCACUCCACUAGUUUCUAUCUGGAGUCUCUCCUUUCUUAACAGCAUAAAGGUUCCCUUAGAUGACUUGGAUUUCCAUACAGUCAACGUGGGCAUCGAGCAGGCUUUGAGACUAUUGAAGGCUUCUCUCUGCUCCCAAUCUGUACUGACUAAUGCCUGGUCAACUUUGGCCUAAAGAGUCCCAAGCAA